Molecule: ribosomal RNA, 102 nt
Filed under: uncultured bacterium
Lineage: Bacteria
Description: partial 16S ribosomal RNA
Rfam family: Bacterial small subunit ribosomal RNA
Source: RNAcentral
UACANACCGCCCGUCACACCAUGAGAGCUGUUUGUACCCGAAAUUGCCUUAGCUAACCCGUAAGGGAGGCGGGCACCUAAGGUAUGGAUGGUGAUUGGGGUG